This 480-nucleotide ribosomal RNA is filed under the name uncultured bacterium. RNAcentral describes it as "bacterial SSU rRNA". It matches the Rfam family "Bacterial small subunit ribosomal RNA", at positions 8 to 485 of the family's 1533-position model. The record is from RNAcentral.
AGAGUUUGAUCCUGGCUCAGAUUGAACGCUGGCGGCAUGCCUUACACAUGCAAGUCGAACGGUAGCGGGCCUUCGGGUGCCGACGAGUGGCGAACGGGUGAGUAAUGUAUCGGAACGUACCUUUCAGUGGGGGAUAACGUAGCGAAAGUUACGCUAAUACCGCAUAUUCUGUGAGCAGGAAAGCAGGGGAUCUUCGGACCUUGCGCUGAUUGAGCGGCCGAUAUCAGAUUAGCUAGUUGGUGAGGUAAAGGCUCACCAAGGCGACGAUCUGUAGCGGGUCUGAGUGGAUGAUCCGCCACACUGGAACUGAGACACGGUCCAGACUCCUACGGGAGGCAGCAGUGGGGAAUUUUGGACAAUGGGGGCAACCCUGAUCCAGCCAUGCCGCGUGAGUGAAGAAGGCCUUCGGGUUGUAAAGCUCUUUCGGCCGGGGAGAAAUCGCAUGGGUUAAUACCCUGUGCGGAUGACGGUACCGGCAUA